This 686-nucleotide long non-coding RNA is filed under the name Olea europaea subsp. europaea. Lineage: Eukaryota; Viridiplantae; Streptophyta; Magnoliopsida; Lamiales; Oleaceae. The record is from RNAcentral.
CCAAAUUUUAUCUUUACAAUCAGACGGCUCUAAUUGUAAAUCUCUUUUCUCGAAAUACUGAAAGUUGUCAGUUCGGGCGACAUUGAAAAUGACUAAAACCGCCCAAUCAGAUGUUCAGGAGAAUUUCGCUAAAGCAAGUCCCAAAAUUUUUGGUGAAUAGAUGAGAAGUGUACCGUGACGGACAUGUGGCCACUUUAUUUAUCAACCUCAGCUGCAGUAUAUUUACAAUGCAGUUCGGGGUAGUGCCUAUCCAUACUGGAUAAAUAAAGGAGAAAAGAUUAGAGAACAUGUGGCAAAGCCUAUCAAUCAAAAGUGUACCGUCAAAUUGAAGAAAUAAUUGAUAAGUGUGGUUUCUGCACUUAUUCGAGGUCUUAAAAUGGUAUUUUACUGUUAUUUGGAUUCUAUACUAUAUAACUUAUGUUAUAUCACAUUUUAUAGAUAAAACUCGAUAUUUGAUGAGGAAUUGGAGAAAAGAAUGCAAAAAUAGUGGAAAUCUGAAAUUCAAGGACUAAACUACAAAUAAUCCAUAAAUGAGAUGGACAAUGAAAUGAAGAUCGAAGAUGCCAAUGAUUUAAGUUAAUAUAAUUGGAAGAUAAAGGAAUACGAUUACAAGAGAAAGGGGCUAAAAUGAUGCAAAUUCAAAGUUUGGGGGAUUAAAGUGCAAAUUUUCAAAACUUGUGUCGAAC